RNAcentral lists this ribosomal RNA (440 nucleotides) under uncultured bacterium. RNAcentral's name for it is "partial 16S ribosomal RNA". It matches the Rfam family "Bacterial small subunit ribosomal RNA", at positions 338 to 795 of the family's 1533-position model. The record is from RNAcentral.
CCUACGGGCGGCAGCAGUAGGGAAUAUUGCUCAAUGGGGGAAACCCUGAAGCAGCAACGCCGCGUGGAGGAUGAAGGUUUUCGGAUUGUAAACUCCUUUUGUUAGAGAAGAUAAUGACGGUAUCUAACGAAUAAGCACUGGCUAACAACGUGCCAGCAGCCGCGGUAAUACGGAGGGUGCAAGCGUUACUCGGAAUCACUGGGCGUAAAGAGCGCGUAGGCGGGAUAGCAAGUCAGAUGUGAAAUCCUAUGGCUCAACCAUAAAAUUGCAUUUGAAACUGUUAUUCUAGAGUAUAGGAGAGGUAGGUGGAAUUCUUGGUGUAGGGGUGAAAUGCGUAGAGAUCAAGAAGAAUACUGAUUGCGAAGGCGGCCUGCUAGAACAUAACUGACGCUGAUGCGCGAAAGCGUGGGGAGCAAACAGGAUUAGAUACCCUAGUAGUC